RNAcentral lists this small RNA (21 nucleotides) under Arabidopsis thaliana (thale cress). Its description in RNAcentral is "Ath_wt_15479". Lineage: Eukaryota; Viridiplantae; Streptophyta; Magnoliopsida; Brassicales; Brassicaceae. The record is from RNAcentral.
GAAAGCGUGGCCUAUCGAUCC